RNAcentral lists this ribosomal RNA (466 nucleotides) under uncultured bacterium. Its description in RNAcentral is "partial 16S ribosomal RNA". It matches the Rfam family "Bacterial small subunit ribosomal RNA", at positions 28 to 507 of the family's 1533-position model. The record is from RNAcentral.
GACGAACGCUGGCGGCGUGCUUAACACAUGCAAGUCGUGCGGUAAGGCCCUUUCGGGGGUACACGAGCGGCGAACGGGUGAGUAACACGUGAGCAACCUGCCCUUCACUUUGGGAUAACUGCCGGAAACGGUGGCUAAUACCGGAUAUGACUUCCUCACGCAGGGGGGGUGGUGGAAAGCCUUCGGGUGGUGGGGGAUGGGCUCGCGGUCUAUCAGCUUGUUGGUGGGGUGAUGGCCUACCAAGGCUUCGACGGGUAGCCGGCCUGAGAGGGUGACCGGCCACACUGGGACUGAGACACGGCCCAGACUCCUACGGGAGGCAGCAGUGGGGAAUAUUGGACAAUGGGCGAAAGCCUGAUCCAGCAACGCCGCGUGAGGGAUGACGGCCUUCGGGUUGUAAACCUCUUUCGCCUGCGACGAAGCGAGAGUGACGGUAGCAGGUAAAGAAGCACCGGCCAACUACGUG